AGUGAACGCUGGCGGUAGGCCUAACACAUGCAAGUCGAACGGCAGCACAGUAAGAGCUUGCUCUUACGGGUGGCGCGUGGCGGACGGGUGAGGAAUACCUCGGAAUCUACUUUUUCGUGGGGGCUAACGUAGGGAAACUUACGCUAAUACCGCAUACGACCUACGGGUGAAAGCAGGGGAUCUUCGGACCUUGCGCGAUUGAAUGAGCCGAUGUCGGAUUCGCUAGUUGGCGGGGUAAAGGCCCACCAAGGCGACGAUCCGUAGCGGGUCUGCGAGGAUGAUCAGCCACACUGGAACUGAGACACGGUCCAGACUCCUACGGGAGGCAGCAGUGGGGAAUAUUGGACAAUGGGCGCAAGCCUGAUCCAGCCAUACCGCGGGGGUGAAGAAGGCCUUCGGGUGGUAAAGCCCUUUUGUUGGGAAAGAAAAGCAGCAGGUUAAUACCCCGCUGUUCUGACGGUACCCAAAGAAUAAGCACCGGCUAACUUCGUG
This 492-nucleotide ribosomal RNA is filed under the name uncultured bacterium. RNAcentral describes it as "partial 16S ribosomal RNA". It matches the Rfam family "Bacterial small subunit ribosomal RNA", at positions 29 to 507 of the family's 1533-position model. The record is from RNAcentral.